UUUAUGGAGAGUUUGAUCCUGGCUCAGGAUGAACGCUGGCGGCGUGCCUAAUACAUGCAAGUCGAGCGAACAGACGAGGAGCUUGCUCCUCUGACGUUAGCGGCGGACGGGUGAGUAACACGUGGAUAACCUACCUAUAAGACUGGGAUAACUUCGGGAAACCGGAGCUAAUACCGGAUAAUAUAUUGAACCGCAUGGUUCAAUAGUGAAAGACGGUUUUGCUGUCACUUAUAGAUGGAUCCGCGCCGCAUUAGCUAGUUG
RNAcentral lists this non-coding RNA (261 nucleotides) under Salmonella enterica subsp. enterica serovar Typhimurium. RNAcentral describes it as "partial 16S ribosomal RNA". It matches the Rfam family "Bacterial small subunit ribosomal RNA", at positions 1 to 251 of the family's 1533-position model. Lineage: Bacteria; Pseudomonadati; Pseudomonadota; Gammaproteobacteria; Enterobacterales; Enterobacteriaceae. The record is from RNAcentral.